GAUCCUGGCUCAGGAUGAACGCUAGCUACAGGCUUAACACAUGCAAGUCGAGGGGCAUCAGUUUGGUUUGCUUGCAAACCAAAGCUGGCGACCGGCGCACGGGUGAGUAACACGUAUCCAACCUACCUCAUACUCGGGGAUAGCCUUUCGAAAGAAAGAUUAAUAUCCGAUAGCAUAUAUUUCCCGCAUGGGUUUUAUAUUAAAGAAAUUCGGUAUGAGAUGGGGAUGCGUUCCAUUAGUUUGUUGGGGGGUAACGG
This 257-nucleotide ribosomal RNA is filed under the name uncultured bacterium. Its description in RNAcentral is "partial 16S ribosomal RNA". It matches the Rfam family "Bacterial small subunit ribosomal RNA", at positions 15 to 263 of the family's 1533-position model. The record is from RNAcentral.